AAUUAGGUAAGCUAAAUUUAAGCUUAUAGGUUCAUACCCUGUCAAUAGAAUUAUAAUCUCCUAAUUA
Molecule: transfer RNA, 67 nt
Filed under: Arbanatus sp.
Lineage: Eukaryota; Metazoa; Arthropoda; Insecta; Hemiptera; Aradidae
Description: tRNA-Met
Source: RNAcentral